GCCCGCCCGCCCUGCCAGCGCCGCCAGCCCUGCAGCCACUGGACCACCAUUGAGAGAUUCCCCAGCACUCCCAAAGGUAAGGAGGUUGGGGGGGGAUUUAAAGGCAGCACAAAACCAGGAUACACCACUGCUCACAAUGCUUUAUUGUGAGGAAACAUUGGAUUGGCUCUGAUUGUUAAAUUUGAUGAUCUCAGCCAGAAGGCGGGGUGAGGCCAGGCCACCUGCAACGAGAGGAUACGGUGCUCAAAAAGGGGUAAGUAAAGGCAAGGGAGGCUGAUCACCGAAAGGCUGAUUUUACCACUAUAGUGGUAUACAAUUUGUGUUCCUGACACUAUAGUGUUCCUUUAAUUUUUAACCCCUUAAGGACCAAACUUCGGGAAUAAAAGGGAAUCAUGACAUGUCACACAUGUCAUGUGUCCUUAAGGGGUUAAGAAAGUCUGAGCACUUACUAAAUGAGGGUGAUACUUGGGUUCAACCAAAGCAAAUAACAAGAAAUGGGUCCAGCACACCACUGGUGAAUUCUGCUUGAAUUGGUAGCAAAAUGGCAAAGUUUAAGAAAACUUAGGGCACAUCUCAGGCCUUCCAAGUGUUCUUAUUUAGGACCAAGCACAUAGAAGCAAGGCUUACUGUGUUUAUGCAAUAUACAAAUCAAUUGACAGACAACAUCUGUUUUUAUAAAUAUUUCUGUCCCUUGGCUCGAUCUAUCAUAAUGUCACUCUUUUGAAGAGCUAUUAAUUUUGUUUGCGUGUGUAAAAGUUAAAAAAGUUUAUGAUAAAAUCCCUCUUCGAAAUGUUGGAGAGUAUGAAACAACUUGCUCGUAUGAGCUUACAAUCUAGUUAGUAAGGCAAGACGUUUAGAAGGCUGAUAAGGAAUCAAUGAUUGUUAGUUAAAGGGACACUAUAGUCACCUGAACAACUUUAGCUUAAUGAAGCAGUUUUGGUGUAUAGAACAUGCCCCUGCAGCCUCACUGCUCAAUCCUCUGCCAUUUAGGAGUUAAAUCCCUUUGUUUAUGAACCCUAGUCACACCUCCCUGCAUGUGACUUGAACAGCCUUCCAUAAACACUUCCUGUAAAGAGAGCCCUAUUUAGGCUUUCUUUAUUGCAAGUUCUGUUUAAUUAAGAUUUUUUUUAUCCCCUGCUAUGUUAAUAGCUUGCUAGACCCUGCAAGAGCCUCCUGUAUGUGAUUAAAGUUCAAUUUAGAGAUUGAGAUACAAUUAUUUAAGGUAAAUUACAUCUGUUUGAAAGUGAAACCAGUUUUUUCUCAUGCAGGCUCUGUCAAUCAUAGCCAGGGGAGGUGUGGCUAGGGCUGCAUAAACAGAAACAAAGUGAUUUAACUCCUAAAUGACAGUGAAUUGAGCAGUGACAUUGCAGGGGAAUGAUCUAUACACAAAAACUGCUUUAUUUAGGUGACUAUAGUGUUCCUUUAACCUCCCGAGUCGAUGCACAUUGGUUUUCAGGAUGUGUAUUUGGAAAAGAGGAAAAAGCCUGCAGGGUGUGUUAAGACAAACACUGAUUAAAGUGUCACACCUUAAAAAUAACACUUGGCCACAUUGUACGACUAUCAGAGCAGCAGCUCCCGGAAUGUAACAGGAAAGAAAAUGCAAGAUUCCAGCUGUGAAAUACAGAAACACUUUGUCUUAGCGUUCCUGGCCGAGAUAUAACCUUUGGUCAUGUGAUCAUGACCCAGCAGGCUGCAGGCCGGAACGGAACGUGGCCUCACCACGUAGUAAUAUUGUAACAUGGUAAUCUAGGUUGAAAAAAGACCAUCAAGGCCAUUGAGUUCAGCCUUUCAUUUCUAAGUAUUUACAUUAUCUGAUAGUUCCAGCUACUCACUGAUACAGAUCAAUAACAAUGUCUCUUGCAACAGUGAAACCCCUCCAACCUUGCAGACUUACACUUUUUAACCCUUUCAUGUUUUAUUUUGUUGAAAAAUAAUUAGAAUAACAUUUGAAAUAUGGGUUAAAUAACGAGCACAUGCAGAGAAAAAAACAGCAAUUUCCUGUGUAGGUUUCACAACUAGAAAUAUCUACAGACCCUCUAUUAUACGGGGAGAUCUGCAUCUGGAGGUGAAGAGUUCAUAAAGGGCUUCUACCAGAAUCCUCGGGGCCCGCAACACACAUUAGCAGACACAAAUACCUGUACACAAAGAUAUACACAGCCACACACACAUAUACACACAGAUACAUAGAGCACAGAUAUACACAGCCACACACACAUAUACGCACUGCCACACAUAUACACACAGAUACAUAGAGCACAGAUAUACACAGCCACACACAUAUACACACAGAUACAUAGAGCAUAUACACAGCCACACACACAUACCCACUGCCACACAUAUACACACAGAUACAUAGAGCACAGAUAUACACAGCCACAUACACAUAUACACACAGAUACAUAGAGCACAGAUAUACACAGCCACACACACAUAUACACACAGAUACAUAGAGCACAGAUAUACACAGCCACACACUCAUAUACCCACUGCCACACAUAUACACACAGAUACAUAGAGCACAUACACAGAUAUACACAGCCACACACACAUAUACCCACUGCCACACAGAUACAUAGAGCACAGAUAUACACAGCCACAUACACAUAUACCCACUGCCACACAUAUACACACAGAUACAUAGAGCACAGAUAUACACAGCCACACACACAUAUACACACAGAUACAUAGAGCACAGAUAUACACAGCCACACACUCAUAUACCCACUUCCACACAUAUACACACAGAUACAUAGAGCACAUACACAGAUAUACACAGCCACACACACAUAUACCCACUGCCACACAUAUAUACACAGAUACAUAGAGCACAGAUAUACACAGCCACACACUCAUAUACGCACUGCCACACAUAUACACACAGAUACAUAGAGCACAGAUAUACACAGCCACACACACAUACACACUGCCAAUAUAGGCCACACAGAUACAUAGAGCACAUACACAGAUAUACACAGCCACACACACAUAUACCCACUGCCACACAUAUACACACAGAUACAUAGAGCACAGAUAUACACAGCCACACACACAUAUACCCACUGCCACACAUAUACACACAGAUACAUAGAGCACAGAUAUACACAGCCACACACACAUAUACCCACUGCCACACAUAUACACACAGAUACAUAGAGCACACAUAUACCCACUGCCACACAUAUACACACAGAUACAUAGAGCACAGAUAAACACAGCCACACACACAUAUACCCACUGCCACACAUAUACACACAGAUACAUAGAGCACAGAUAUACACAGCAACACACACAUAUACCCACUGCCAUACAUGUACACACAGAUACAUAGAGCACAUACACAGAUAUACACAGCCACACACACAUAUACCCACUGCCACACAUGUACACACACAAAUGCACAAGCAUAUAUACACUGCCAAACACAUGCAUACUGACAAACACAUAUAUAUACAUACACAAAUACACACAGCAACAUAGAUAUACUCACAAUUAUAUACAAACUGACACACACAUAGAUACUUAUAUACACACAUGUAUAUACAGCUACACAUAAAUAUUACACACACAUAUGCAUACACAGCUACACACAGAUGUACAUACACACAAAAACAACAUAAGCACAAUGCCACACACAGACAUACUGCAGUAGACCUAAAUAAAGCUCUGUUUAGCCACCGUCCUCUUUGCCCAGUAUAGUGUUGGAGAAGGGUGGCUUCCAUGUGAUCUAGUGGGGCCGCAGGAUCAGCUGAGCUUUCCUUUCUCACCCAGAGGAAGUGAUCUGAUAUCACUUCCUGUCAGUGCUGCCAUUCAGGAGAGCAAUGGUGGGUUGUCAAUACAGCUCUUGAAGUUCUACUCUACUGCAAUGUGGGUUGUGGCCCGGCUAGUGGAGAUACACGUAUCUCCUCAACUGGACCUCAGAGCACAUAAUGAAUUCCCAGAGUCUUCUCCUGAUGGCAGCCCUGUGUUCAUAUACUGGUCAGACGUGUCUUACAAGCUUAAAAUACACUUACAAGGUUAUUCAGUAUAGUGAGACUUGACAGAAAGUGAAUAUGAACAUGUAGGAGAAAAUACCAUAAUAAGAAAACCUCUGCAAGUCAGUUAUGCUAUCAGUUUGGCUAUUUGGACUUUAAGGUGAAAUUUACUUUGUACUCUGUGUGGUAGAAUGGGUCACUCAUAUAGAUAGGGUGGAUCAAGGGGUGUAAAGUCAUUCCCCAAGUCUAAAGUUCCAGGUGGGAUCAGGAGGCCUCCAAACCUCUCUUAUACUAUGAUUGUGAUCUAGUAAAGGGCCAGCAGUUGCCCAGCUGCCCAACUGUUUUGUCCAAAAUGAGUCUAAAGGUAGGUUUCUAGCCAUGCAUAGAGUAAAUAUGUAUUGUACCCAAGAUCGAUCUAUCUAGAUUAGUUUUGUAAUGAGCUCUGAUAUGCACCAUAAGUCAUGCAUGGUUUAAAUUGCUUUUUAUCCUUGAGUUCAAUCAGCAUAUUUCUCGACAUUAACAAUGGUCAAAGAUCAACAACUAUUUUUUACGGAAGAAAGUUUGGGCAUCAGCAAGAGGUAUCAGCUCACUUAUUCUGCUUACCUAGAAAAGCGGGACUCAAAAAAACAGAAGGACAGCGGGAUAUAAAACUAACAGGGUUCUUCAUCAAACUGGAUUGCUACAAAUGGAAACCUAACAGGGUUAUUUACUAAAACGAGAAUUCAGAGUUAAUUUAAAGUUUAAGGCCAGGGCAGCCAAACUAGAAUCAUAGAUGACUUAGAUUGGAUAUUUCUGCUAUUUUGACUUUCAAUUUGGUAAAUACCUGUGCUAAUAACAUAAGGCUAAAGUAGCCAAGCUGUGACAAUAAGUUAGUUGGAGGAUUUCUCUAAAUUAGCUAUGUUUGCCUAGAUUCUGCAAUUCAGAUUUCAGUUAUAAUUCAGCUUUUAGAGAAUAACUCUGUAAGAGGAGGUUGCUUCCCGAAAUGAAGGUACCACCAUCACUCUUGAUUCCGGUAAACCAGACUUAUCUAUGCUGGUAAUUCAAUUAUUGUAUUUUAAUCAUCAUUAUCUCUCUUCAUUCUUUACAUCUCUAACAAAGUUAUUCACUAAAAUGUGAAGUGUCAUGAAUUCAAAGUGAAUUUCAUUUUGUUUGGAUAUAAUUGCCCCAUUUGUAACAUUUUUUAAGUCAUCCAUCUAUUUUUUUAAAAUCUGUUUUGGGCCCAAAGUUUUUUUU
Molecule: long non-coding RNA, 5204 nt
Filed under: Pelobates cultripes (western spadefoot toad)
Lineage: Eukaryota; Metazoa; Chordata; Amphibia; Anura; Pelobatidae
Source: RNAcentral